AAUGAACGCUGGCGGCGUGCUUAACACAUGCAAGUCGAACGAGAACGGCCCUUCGGGGUGUCAGCUAAGUGGCGCACGGGUGAGUAAUGUAUAGCUAACGUGCCCCAUGGAGAGGGAUAACAGUUGGAAACGACUGCUAAUACUUCAUACUCCGUUUUGACACAAGUUGGAACGGGAAAUGUUUUUCGCCAUGGGAUCGGGCUAUAUUGUAUCAGCUAGUUGGUGGGGUAAAGGCUUACCAAGGCUAUGACGCAUAGCUGGUCUGAGAGGAUGAUCAGCCACACUGGAACUGAGACACGGUCCAGACUCCUACGGGAGGCAGCAGUGGGAAUAUUGCACAAUGGGGACCCUGAUGCAGCACGCGCGUGAGAUGACGCAUUUCGGUGUGUAAACUCCUUUUUUAAUCAGAGAAGAUUAUGACGGUAUCUGAUGAAUAAGCUCCGGCUAACUCCGUGCCAGCAGCGCGGUAA
RNAcentral lists this ribosomal RNA (470 nucleotides) under uncultured bacterium. RNAcentral describes it as "bacterial SSU rRNA". It matches the Rfam family "Bacterial small subunit ribosomal RNA", at positions 29 to 523 of the family's 1533-position model. The record is from RNAcentral.